Molecule: ribosomal RNA, 565 nt
Filed under: uncultured Pseudanabaena sp.
Lineage: Bacteria; Bacillati; Cyanobacteriota; Cyanophyceae; Pseudanabaenales; Pseudanabaenaceae
Description: bacterial SSU rRNA
Rfam family: Bacterial small subunit ribosomal RNA
Source: RNAcentral
UACGGGAGGCAGCAGUGGGGAAUUUUCCGCAAUGGGCGAAAACCUGACGGAGCAACGCCGCGUGAGGGAUGAAGGCCUCUGGGCUGUAAACCUCUUUUCUCAAGGAAGAAGACCUGACGGUACUUGAGGAAUAAGCAUCGGCUAACUCCGUGCCAGCAGCCGCGGUAAGACGGAGGAUGCAAGCGUUAUCCGGAAUUAUUGGGCGUAAAGCGUACGUAGGCUGUUUAAUAAGUCUGUUGUCAAAGACUGAGGCUUAACCUUGGGAAGGCAAUGGAAACUGUAAGACUAGAGAGAGAUAGGGGCAGGAGGAAUUCCAGGUGUAGCGGUGAAAUGCGUAGAUAUCUGGAAGAACACCAGUGGCGAAAGCGUCCUGCUGGGUCUCAACUGACGCUGAAGUACGAAAGCUAGGGGAGCGAAUGGGAUUAGAUACCCCAGUAGUCCUAGCCGUAAACGAUGGACACUAGGUGUUGGCCGUAUCGACCCGGUCAGUGCCGUAGCUAACGCGUUAAGUGUCCCGCCUGGGGAGUACGGUCGCAAGAUUGAAACUCAAAGGAAUUGACGGGGA